CCUACGGGAGGCAGCAGUGAGGAAUAUUGGUCAAUGGGCGCGAGCCUGAACCAGCCAAGUAGCGUGAAGGAUGACUGCCCUACGGGUUGUAAACUUCUUUUGUCGGGGAACAAAGGCGGAGACGCGUCUCCGGAUGAGUGUACCCGAAGAAAAAGCAUCGGCUAACUCCGUGCCAGCAGCCGCGGUAAUACGGAGGAUGCGAGCGUUAUCCGGAUUUAUUGGGUUUAAAGGGUGCGCAGGCGGGAGCUCAAGUCAGCGGGAAAAGGUCGGGGCUAAACCCCGGCCGGCCGUUGAAACUGGUUUUCUAGAGUUGGAGAGAAGUAUGCGGAAUUCGUGGUGUAGCGGUGAAAUGCAUAGAUAUCACGAAGAACUCCGAUUGCGAAGGCAGCAUACCGGCUCCAUACUGACGCUGAGGCACGAAAGCGUGGGGAUCGAACAGGAUUAGAUACCCUUGUAGUC
This 459-nucleotide ribosomal RNA is filed under the name uncultured bacterium. RNAcentral's name for it is "partial 16S ribosomal RNA". It matches the Rfam family "Bacterial small subunit ribosomal RNA", at positions 338 to 795 of the family's 1533-position model. The record is from RNAcentral.